Molecule: ribosomal RNA, 260 nt
Filed under: uncultured Porphyrobacter sp.
Lineage: Bacteria; Pseudomonadati; Pseudomonadota; Alphaproteobacteria; Sphingomonadales; Erythrobacteraceae
Description: partial 16S ribosomal RNA
Rfam family: Bacterial small subunit ribosomal RNA
Source: RNAcentral
UAGUGAGUUUGAUCCUGGCUCAGAACGAACGCUGGCGGCAUGCCUAACACAUGCAAGUCGAACGAGACCUUCGGGUCUAGUGGCGCACGGGUGCGUAACGCGUGGGAACCUGCCUUUAGGUUCGGAAUAACUCAGAGAAAUUUGAGCUAAUACCGGAUAAUGUCUUCGGACCAAAGAUUUAUCGCCUUUAGAUGGGCCCGCGUAAGAUUAGCUAGUUGGUGGGGUAAAGGCCUACCAGGCGACGAUCUUAGCUGGUCUGA